RNAcentral lists this unclassified non-coding RNA (1651 nucleotides) under Caenorhabditis elegans. Its description in RNAcentral is "Non-coding transcript of protein-coding gene fbxa-218". Lineage: Eukaryota; Metazoa; Nematoda; Chromadorea; Rhabditida; Rhabditidae. The record is from RNAcentral.
AUGGAUACAAUCAGAAGAGAUGAAACUUCCCGCGGUGAGCACUCGAGCUCCUCAAGUUUCCGCAGCAAUCUCAGCUCAAAUUCGGACUCCAUUCAGCAACAAUCCUCCGAUUCAAGUUCUCAGAGAUCCACGUACACUGAGGUUGUUGGAACUGGACCACUCGAUGCUGUGCAAGAUAAUUCCACUGAGAUGCUUUAUUCGAGAAGAAGUGCAGAGGAUUUGCGUAGUGAGCAAUCGAGCAAAACGAGCUCAAGCACUGUCAGCUGCACCAGCUUAGGAUCAAGCAACAUCAGCUCCAGCAGCAGACAACCAAGCAACGGCAGCUUCAGAAGUUCAGGAUCGAGCAAUGGCAGCUCGAGCAGCAGCCGACGAUCAAGCAAUGGAAGCUCCAGCAGUUCGGGAUCUACAAGUGACAACUCGAGCAGCAACAUCAGCUCCAGCAGCAGACGAUCAAGCAAUGGCAGCUCCAGAAGCUCCAGCUCGAGCAGUGUCGGCUCGAUGAGCUCAAUUGCAAGCAAUGUCGGAAGUAUUGACUCAUUCAGUGACGGCUCAGUCAAUUCGAAUUCCAAUCAGCAACUCGUCCCAAAUCCAGAGAUCAUUCUUGCGGAUCCUCGUGCUCUGAGAGCCUGCAUGACGUACCAGAUUCUCCAGCAAAUGACUAGUUUUGAUGCCUACACUGAAAUGUGUGAAUCGCUUGGGACGGAUUUCAUGGAAUACCGCCGGUUCGACUACUGAUAUUGUGGAUUGGCCAAUGGGACUCUCAAUAUGUUCUUAAGAAGCUUCACCCAAUUGAUAGACUAAGUGCCUGUGGAGUGUCUCAAACUUUCAAGUCGAUCAUUGACGCGCAGUGCUCCAAUAUGACGGACUGUGCCGUGGUGUUGAGUAAAGGAUUUGUGGAAUUGAUUAUAAACGAAGCCUGGGUGAAUUAUCGAGAGUGGAUCGACGAAUCUUUUCAAGCCGGAUGCCGUUUGAAGUACGAAGAUCGAGAAAUCAUUCUACCGAACAAAACACCACUGGAGGUUGCUAUGAAGGAUUUAUCAACGUUUAUGCAUGGUCGAGAGUUGAGCCUGGAUAGUUUUAUGGUGACCACCUGGGAAGAAGACAUGGAUUUAUACGAUCCUCUCAUCUCUCUCCUUCAUCAAAUUGGAAGUGUUCCAGCCAAAUAUGUGAUUAUCGAAGGAGCAACUUCCGAGAAGACAGCCCAAAUCCUCCAACAUUUUGAGGCUGGAGUUUUGAAAAAGUUGCGAAUCAGAGCUGAUGUGGCCGAUGCAGCUUCCAUCCAACCUCUGGUGGCGCUCGAUCAAUGGAAAUCAGUGGACAAACUUCAUUUGACCUGUCACGCCAAACAAUUCCAGUUCUUCGUCAAGCAUCUCAAGCAUCUCAAGGCAAUGAAAGUCGACUUUUUUGGACACAAUUUAUCGAAGGGAGAUAUGAUGAAAUUUCGCGAUGAAGUUAUCGUGAAAUCGAGCCGUUUCAAAGUCUACAAGUUCAAGCGAGUUCACUACAGUUCGAAAGAGUUGCUGCAAGUGCUAUGUCCGAUGGAGUCUCCAAUCGAUUCAUUUGGCAAGAUCGACAUUGAAACCGACAACGCUACAUUUUCCAUCGAGUUCGACGACGAUUGGUUCCAGAUCAAGAAAUCUCUGGAAUGAUC